GCGUUUUUAUCGCUGAGUUUCCGUGUGAAGCGGAAAACGGGGGAACCAACGAGGACUUGCAGGCCUGACGGCCAGUCCUCAUGGGGUGAAUCCAGAAGCGGCAUCCGUGCCGUCAUGGUAGGGCGACUCUCACGCCCGAAUCCGACAGCUAACCUCGUAAGCGUACCGAGAGAGGCGAC
Regulatory RNA element from Paenibacillus sp. HGF7, 179 nucleotides. It matches the Rfam family "c-di-AMP riboswitch aptamer (ydaO/yuaA leader)". From Rfam's summary of the family: This family represents a conserved RNA structure found upstream of the ydaO and yuaA genes in Bacillus subtilis and related genes in other bacteria. The ydaO/yuaA element is thought to act as a genetic "off" switch for the ydaO and yuaA genes in its native state. Lineage: Bacteria; Bacillati; Bacillota; Bacilli; Caryophanales; Paenibacillaceae. The record is from Rfam.